This 496-nucleotide ribosomal RNA is filed under the name uncultured bacterium. RNAcentral's name for it is "partial 16S ribosomal RNA". It matches the Rfam family "Bacterial small subunit ribosomal RNA", at positions 29 to 507 of the family's 1533-position model. The record is from RNAcentral.
AUGAACGCUGGCGGCGUGCCUAAUACAUGCCAGUCGAGCGAACAGACGAGGAGCUUGCUCCUCUGACGUUAGCGGCGGACGGGUGAGUAACACGUGGAUAACCUACCUAUAAGACUGGGAUAACUUCGGGAAACCGGAGCUAAUACCGGAUAAUAUAUUGAACCGCAUGGUUCAAUAGUGAAAGACGGUUUUGCUGUCACUUAUAGAUGGAUCCGCGCCGCAUUAGCUAGUUGGUAAGGUAACGGCUUACCAAGGCAACGAUUCGUAGCCGACCUGAGAGGGCUAUCAGCCACACUGGAACUGAGACACGGUCCAGACUCCUACGGGAAGCAGCAGUAGGGAAUCUUCCGCAAUGGGCGAAAGCCUGACGGAGCAACGCCGCGUGAGUGAUGAAGGUCUUCGGAUCGUAAAACUCUGUUAUUAGGGAAGAACAAAUGUGUAAGUAACUAUGCACGUCUUGACGGUACCUAAUCAGAAAGCCACGGCUAACUACGUG